Molecule: ribosomal RNA, 372 nt
Filed under: uncultured bacterium
Lineage: Bacteria
Description: bacterial SSU rRNA
Rfam family: Bacterial small subunit ribosomal RNA
Source: RNAcentral
GUAGGGUGCAAGCAUUGUCCGGAUUUAUUGGGCGUAAAGAGCUCGUAGGCGGCUUGUCACGUCGGAUGUGAAAACUCGGGGCUCAACCCCGAGCCUGCAUUCGAUACGGGCUAGCUAGAGUGUUGCAGGGGAGACUGGAAUUCCUGGUGUAGCGGUGAAAUGCGCAGAUAUCAGGAGGAACACCGGUGGCGAAGGCGGGUCUCUGGGCAACUACUGACGCUGAGGAGCGAAAGCGUGGGGAGCAAACAGGAUUAGAUACCCUGGUAGUCCACGCCGUAAACGGUGGGCGCUAGGUGUGGGGAACCUUCCACGUUCUCUGUGCCGAAGCUAACGCAUUAAGCGCCCCGCCUGGGGAGUACGGCCGCAAGGCUA